Molecule: ribosomal RNA, 253 nt
Filed under: uncultured prokaryote
Description: partial 16S ribosomal RNA
Rfam family: Bacterial small subunit ribosomal RNA
Source: RNAcentral
ACGGGGGGGGCAAGCGUUGUUCGGAAUUACUGGGCGUAAAGGGUUCGUAGGUGGCCUGCUGAGUCAGACGUGAAAUCCCUCAGCUUAACUGGGGAACUGCUUCUGAGACUGGCGGGCUUGAGUGCAGGAGAGGAACGCGGAAUUCCAGGUGUAGCGGUGAAAUGCGUAGAUAUCUGGAGGAAUACCGGUGGCGAAGGCGGCAUCCUGGACCGACAUUGACGCUGAGGAGCGAAAGCUAGGGGAGCAAACGGGA